This 494-nucleotide ribosomal RNA is filed under the name uncultured bacterium. Its description in RNAcentral is "partial 16S ribosomal RNA". It matches the Rfam family "Bacterial small subunit ribosomal RNA", at positions 28 to 507 of the family's 1533-position model. The record is from RNAcentral.
GACGAACGCUGGCGGCGUGCUUAACACAUGCAAGUCGAACGGAAAGGCCUGCUUUCCCUUGUGGAUUGCGGGUACUCGAGUGGCGAACGGGUGAGUAACACGUGAGUGAUCUGCCCCCAACUUGGGUAUAAGCCUGGGAAACUGGGUCUAAUUCCCGAUAGGACUGCAGGGUGGUGCCUGUGGUGGAACACGAUUUUCUAGUGGUUGGGGAUGAGCUCGCGGCCUAUCAGCUUGUUGGUGGGGUAAUGGCCUACCAAGGCGGCGACGGGUAGCCGGCCUGAGAGGGUGGACGGCCACAUUGGGACUGAGAUACGGCCCAGACUCCGACGGGAGGCAGCAGUGGGGAAUAUUGCACAAUGGGCGGAAGCCUGAUGCAGCGACGCCGCGUGGGGGAUGACGGCCCUCGGGUUGUAAACUCCUUUCGACCGCGAGGAAGCCACCUGGUUGGAAGGGUGGUGACGGUAGUGGUAGAAGAAGCACCGGCUAACUACGUG